RNAcentral lists this ribosomal RNA (468 nucleotides) under uncultured bacterium. RNAcentral describes it as "partial 16S ribosomal RNA". It matches the Rfam family "Bacterial small subunit ribosomal RNA", at positions 28 to 507 of the family's 1533-position model. The record is from RNAcentral.
GAUGAACGCUGGCGGCGUGCUUAACACAUGCAAGUCGAACGGAAAGGCCCUGCUUUUGUGGGGUGCUCGAGUGGCGAACGGGUGAGUAACACGUGAGUAACUUGCCCUUGACUUUGGGAUAACUUCAGGAAACUGGGGCUAAUACCGGAUAGGAGCUCCUGCUGCAUGGUGGGGGUUGGAAAGUUUCGGCGGUUGGGGAUGGACUCGCGGCUUAUCAGCUAGUUGGUGGGGUAGUGGCUUACCAAGGCUUUGACGGGUAGCCGGCCUGAGAGGGUGACCGGCCACAUUGGGACUGAGAUACGGCCCAGACUCCUACGGGAGGCAGCAGGGGGGAAUAUUGCACAAUGGGCGGAAGCCUGAUGCAGCAACGCCGCGUGCGGGAUGACGGCCUUCGGGUUGUAAACCGCUUUCGACUGUGACGAAGCGUGAGUGACGGUAAUGGGUAAAGAAGCACCGGCUAACUACGUG